ACGGAAGGCAGCAGUCGGGAAUAUUGCGCAAUGGAGGGAACUCUGACGCAGUGACGCCGCGUAUAGGAAGAAGGUUUUCGGAUUGUAAACUAUUGUCAUUAGGGAAGAAAAAAGACUGUACCUAAGGAGGAAGCCCCGGCUAACUAUGUGCCAGCAGCCGCGGUAAUACAUAGGGGGCAAGCGUUAUCCGGAAUUAUUGGGUGUAAAGGGUGCGUAGACGGGAAUGCAAGUUAGUUGUGAAAUCCCUCGGCUUAACUGAGGAACUGCAACUAAAACUGUAUUUCUUGAGUAUCGGAGAGGAAAGCGGAAUUCCUAGUGUAGCGGUGAAAUGCGUAGAUAUUAGGAGGAACACCAGUGGCGAAGGCGGCUUUCUGGACGGUAACUGACGUUGAGGCACGAAAGUGUGGGGAGCAAACAGGAUUAG
Molecule: ribosomal RNA, 424 nt
Filed under: uncultured Oscillospiraceae bacterium
Lineage: Bacteria; Bacillati; Bacillota; Clostridia; Eubacteriales; Oscillospiraceae
Description: bacterial SSU rRNA
Rfam family: Bacterial small subunit ribosomal RNA
Source: RNAcentral